Molecule: ribosomal RNA, 535 nt
Filed under: Fusarium redolens
Lineage: Eukaryota; Fungi; Ascomycota; Sordariomycetes; Hypocreales; Nectriaceae
Description: eukaryotic LSU rRNA
Rfam family: 5.8S ribosomal RNA (bases 169-322)
Source: RNAcentral
ACCAGCGGAGGGAUCAUUACCGAGUUUACAACUCCCAAACCCCUGUGAACAUACCUUACUGUUGCCUCGGCGGAUCAGCCCGCUCCCGGUAAAACGGGACGGCCCGCCAGAGGACCCCUAAACUCUGUUUCUAUAUGUAACUUCUGAGUAAAACCAUAAAUAAAUCAAAACUUUCAACAACGGAUCUCUUGGUUCUGGCAUCGAUGAAGAACGCAGCAAAAUGCGAUAAGUAAUGUGAAUUGCAGAAUUCAGUGAAUCAUCGAAUCUUUGAACGCACAUUGCGCCCGCCAGUAUUCUGGCGGGCAUGCCUGUUCGAGCGUCAUUUCAACCCUCAAGCCCUCGGGUUUGGUGUUGGGGAUCGGCGAGCCUUUCUGGCAAGCCGGCCCCGAAAUCUAGUGGCGGUCUCGCUGCAGCCUCCAUUGCGUAGUAGUAAAACCCUCGCAACUGGAACGCGGCGCGGCCAAGCCGUUAAACCCCCAACUUCUGAAUGUUGACCUCGGAUCAGGUAGGAAUACCCGCUGAACUUAAGCAUAUC